Molecule: ribosomal RNA, 1436 nt
Filed under: uncultured organism
Description: 16S ribosomal RNA
Rfam family: Bacterial small subunit ribosomal RNA
Source: RNAcentral
UCAGGAUGAACGCUAGCUACAGGCUUAACACAUGCAAGUCGAGGGGCAGCAUGGUCUUAGCUUGCUAAGGCCGAUGGCGACCGGCGCACGGGUGAGUAACACGUAUCCAACCUGCCGUCUACUCUUGGACAGCCUUCUGAAAGGAAGAUUAAUACAAGAUGGCAUCAUGAGUCCGCAUGUUCACAUGAUUAAAGGUAUUCCGGUAGACGAUGGGGAUGCGUUCCAUUAGAUAGUAGGCGGGGUAACGGCCCACCUAGUCUUCGAUGGAUAGGGGUUCUGAGAGGAAGGUCCCCCACAUUGGAACUGAGACACGGUCCAAACUCCUACGGGAGGCAGCAGUGAGGAAUAUUGGUCAAUGGGCGAGAGCCUGAACCAGCCAAGUAGCGUGAAGGAUGACUGCCCUAUGGGUUGUAAACUUCUUUUAUAAAGGAAUAAAGUCGGGUAUGGAUACCCGUUUGCAUGUACUUUAUGAAUAAGGAUCGGCUAACUCCGUGCCAGCAGCCGCGGUAAUACGGAGGAUCCGAGCGUUAUCCGGAUUUAUUGGGUUUAAAGGGAGCGUAGAUGGAUGUUUAAGUCAGUUGUGAAAGUUUGCGGCUCAACCGUAAAAUUGCAGUUGAUACUGGAUAUCUUGAGUGCAGUUGAGGCAGGCGGAAUUCGUGGUGUAGCGGUGAAAUGCUUAGAUAUCACGAAGAACUCCGAUUGCGAAGGCAGCCUGCUAAGCUGCAACUGACAUUGAGGCUCGAAAGUGUGGGUAUCAAACAGGAUUAGAUACCCUGGUAGUCCACACGGUAAACGAUGAAUACUCGCUGUUUGCGAUAUACUGCAAGCGGCCAAGCGAAAGCGUUAAGUAUUCCACCUGGGGAGUACGCCGGCAACGGUGAAACUCAAAGGAAUUGACGGGGGCCCGCACAAGCGGAGGAACAUGUGGUUUAAUUCGAUGAUACGCGAGGAACCUUACCCGGGCUUAAAUUGCAGAUGAAUUACGGUGAAAGCCGUAAGCCGCAAGGCAUCUGUGAAGGUGCUGCAUGGUUGUCGUCAGCUCGUGCCGUGAGGUGUCGGCUUAAGUGCCAUAACGAGCGCAACCCUUGUUGUCAGUUACUAACAGGUUCCGCUGAGGACUCUGACAAGACUGCCAUCGUAAGAUGUGAGGAAGGUGGGGAUGACGUCAAAUCAGCACGGCCCUUACGUCCGGGGCUACACACGUGUUACAAUGGGGGGUACAGAGGGCCGCUACCACGCGAGUGGAUGCCAAUCCCCAAAACCUCUCUCAGUUCGGACUGGAGUCUGCAACCCGACUCCACGAAGCUGGAUUCGCUAGUAAUCGCGCAUCAGCCACGGCGCGGUGAAUACGUUCCCGGGCCUUGUACACACCGCCCGUCAAGCCAUGGGAGCCGGGGGUACCUGAAGUGCGUAACCGCGAGGAGCGCCCUAGGGUA